Molecule: long non-coding RNA, 662 nt
Filed under: Homo sapiens (human)
Lineage: Eukaryota; Metazoa; Chordata; Mammalia; Primates; Hominidae
Description: HSALNT0388364
Source: RNAcentral
CGCGGCCAAAGGGAGGAGCUCUCGGCGCUCCUGUCCCCGGAAUCACCCGGAGGCGGUUGGAAUUAACUGUCCAGGCUCCGCCACCAGCGCUCGGCCGCCGACUCCGGCUCCGGAAGGGAGGCCCGGGACGCGGCGGUUUUGUUAUUGGCAGGGAAGAGACCUGGGUUCCCGAUCGAACACAGAGGCCGAGCGCAGCAGUCCCCCACUGGGGUGCUGGGACCGCCCCUCGGGUGGGCGGACGGCUUUAGCUUCCUACCCCGGGUUGUGACCGGGUGGGGUCACAUAAGUUCAGGUCCACGCCCUGCUCGGUGCCGGCGCCAGGAGAGCCAGGAAGACGCGGCCCGGCUUGCGGGGGGUAGAGGGACACACUUGCGCUGCGGGACCAGUCUCCUGAGGCUGCACGGAGUCAAACCAUGAACUGAAUUCCUUCCCAAAGUUAGUUCAGCCUACGCUGAGGAAUGAACAAGGACAGCUUAAAGAUUAGAAGCAACAUGGAACUGGUCAAUGACAUGAGGAAGACCGAAGGAGGCUGCUGGGUGUGGACACAAAGAGAUGGAGCAGACGCUUAUGGGCUCCUUCAUCCUUCCAGAACAGACUCUCCAAGCAAAGUCUAAACCAGUCACAUUGAAGCUCCUAGGGUUACUUCAUUAAUAAUAUUUCAG